RNAcentral lists this ribosomal RNA (56 nucleotides) under uncultured bacterium. RNAcentral's name for it is "partial 16S ribosomal RNA". The record is from RNAcentral.
CCGGUGCGCUAACCGCAAGGAAGCAGCCGACCACGGUAGGGUCAGCGACUGGGGUG